UUUGCAGGAAGCACUUACUGUUUAGGGUUGAGGACCUAAUUCUCAAGACAUACCAUGUUGAAAAAGCCUCUCGACAGAGAAAAUUAUCUUUCACAUGCUCCUGUUGCUGGUACACUGAGAGUGCACGUGGAAGGUGAUCACGUUGAGGGAGGUGUGGGAUACUAAGAACCCUGAGGACACGGCAGACCUACCUGUGAUCUGGGAUCAGCAAGUUGAGAAUACUAGAGUUGUUAUGAGUAAUGUUGUAGGGAGGAUGGGUAUUCAAGAUGUUAGGACAAAUUUGCCAGGAAUAACUUUUUUCCUUGCUUUCUGCUGAGGUUACAGUUUUAUGUGUGGAUGACGCUAUUCUAGGUACCACGAUGCCAACCCUUCAGGAUGGGGGACUGAGGCAUCUUAUGUAUCUCAGCAUGGGAACAGUCUUGGGGCCAGCUCCUGGCUCUGUCCCUCUUUUCAAAUCACAAGCUGUUGGCAGAUCACCCGAGACAAAGGAGGCCUGUGAAGGAGCAGGAAGAGGCCGAGUUUGCAAUGUGUCUGGCCAGAGGCUUCCAGCAGGCCAGAGGUUCCUCUGUGCCCUGGGCUGGCCUGCUGUAGGCGGGGCUUGCCAGGGAGUGCCUUGCUAGGAAGGGAGGGCAAAGGGCCAGGUCCUUCACUUGCCCCACCCUGCUGACAACAGUCCCAGUCACCAGGCUACCCUCUGUGUCCGGGCCCUUGAGGGAGUCCAGAAUUCCAAGUAGUUGGAGCACUGGGGGACACCCAGACUGAGCUCUCCCUGGACCAAGUUCUCCAGGAGCGAGAUGAGGCCAUUGCCAAGAAGCGGGCAGUGGAGGCUGAGCUGGACACAUGCAAAGCCAGGCUGCGUGCUGUGGAGGCCCAGCUGCUGGAGGUCCUGGAGGAGAAACUGAGACUGAGGCAGGAGGUGGAGGCCUGGGAGGAGGACAUGCAGCAGCUGGUGAGGCAGCAGGUGGAGAGUCAGCUGCAGAGAGAGUCCACGGGUGCUCUGGGAGCCCAUGCAGGUCUUGGAGCUGCCAGGAGCCCCUGGGCCAGAUUUCCUUUGGGUCAGGGACGUUGGUGGUGAGAGCUCAGCUCAGAACUCGGAAAGCAGUGUCUUUAUUCAUUAAAGCUUGAGGUCUGACCACCCCUGCA
Nycticebus coucang (slow loris) is the source of this 1143-nucleotide long non-coding RNA. RefSeq lists it as uncharacterized. NCBI's taxonomy places the organism in Eukaryota, Metazoa, Chordata, Mammalia, Primates, Lorisidae. The transcript has 4 exons. The record is from RefSeq and is a predicted model, not a curated record.